AUUGAACGCUGGCGGCAUGCCUUACACAUGCAAGUCGAACGGCAGCACGGGAGCAAUCCUGGUGGCGAGUGGCGAACGGGUGAGUAAUAUAUCGGAACGUGCCCAGUCGUGGGGGAUAACGUAGCGAAAGCUACGCUAAUACCGCAUACGAUCUAUGGAUGAAAGCGGGGGAUCGCAAGACCUCGCGCGAUUGGAGCGGCCGAUAUCAGAUUAGGUUGUUGGUGGGGUAAAAGCCCACCAAGCCGACGAUCUGUAGCUGGUCUGAGAGGACGACCAGCCACACUGGGACUGAGACACGGCCCAGACUCCUACGGGAGGCAGCAGUGGGGAAUUUUGGACAAUGGGCGCAAGCCUGAUCCAGCAAUGCCGCGUGCAGGAUGAAGGCCUUCGGUUGUAACUAGCUUUGUACGGUAACGAAACGGUACCGUCUCUAAUACGGGGCGUAAGUGACGGUACCGUAAGAAUAAGACACCGGCUAACUACGUGCCAGCAGCCG
RNAcentral lists this ribosomal RNA (496 nucleotides) under uncultured bacterium. Its description in RNAcentral is "bacterial SSU rRNA". It matches the Rfam family "Bacterial small subunit ribosomal RNA", at positions 30 to 517 of the family's 1533-position model. The record is from RNAcentral.